GACGGAGGAGGCAAGCGUUAUCCGGAAUUAUUGGGCGUAAAGCGCGCGCAGGUGGUUUCUUAAGUCUGAUGUGAAAGCCCACGGCUCAACCGUGGAGGGUCAUUGGAAACUGGGAGACUUGAGUGCAGAAGAGGAAAGUGGAAUUCCAUGUGUAGCGGUGAAAUGCGUAGAGAUAUGGAGGAACACCAGUGGCGAAGGCGACUUUCUGGUCUGUAACUGACACUGAGGCGCGAAAGCGUGGGGAGCAAACAGG
This 253-nucleotide ribosomal RNA is filed under the name uncultured bacterium. RNAcentral's name for it is "partial 16S ribosomal RNA". It matches the Rfam family "Bacterial small subunit ribosomal RNA", at positions 524 to 776 of the family's 1533-position model. The record is from RNAcentral.